ACUGCUGAGGAGUUCCACAAUAGGACGAAACAGCUGUCCAGU
This 42-nucleotide non-coding RNA is filed under the name Schistosoma mattheei. The record is from RNAcentral. Lineage: Eukaryota; Metazoa; Platyhelminthes; Trematoda; Strigeidida; Schistosomatidae.